GGGCUNGCGACUGCUUACCAUGCAGUCGACGAUGGUCCCCAGCUUGCUGGGGGGAUUAGUGGCGAACGGGUGAGUAACACGUGAGUAACCUGCCCUUGACUCUGGGAUAAGCCUGGGAAACUGGGUCUAAUACCGGAUACGACCGCUCCGCGCAUGCGGUGGUGGUGGAAAGCCUUGUGCGGUUUUGGAUGGACUCGCGGCCUAUCAGCUUGUUGGUGGGGUAAUGGCCUACCAAGGCGACGACGGGUAGCCGGCCUGAGAGGGUGACCGGCCACACUGGGACUGAGACACGGCCCAGACUCCUACGGGAGGCAGCAGUGGGGAAUAUUGCACAAUGGGCGCAAGCCUGAUGCAGCGACGCCGCGUGAGGGAUGACGGCCUUCGGGUUGUAAACCUCUUUCAGUAGGGAAGAAGCCGCAAGGUGACGGUACCUGCAGAAGAAGCGCCGGCUAACUACGUGCCAGCAGCCGCGGUAAUACGUAGGGCGCAAGCGUUAUCCGGAAUUAUUGGGCGUAAAGAGCUCGUAGGCGGUUUGUCGCGUCUGCUGUGAAAGACCGGGGCUCAACUCCGGUUCUGCAGUGGGUACGGGCAGACUAGAGUGAUGUAGGGGAGACUGGAAUUCCUGGUGUAGCGGUGAAAUGCGCAGAUAUCAGGAGGAACACCGAUGGCGAAGGCAGGUCUCUGGGCAUUAACUGACGCUGAGGAGCGAAAGCAUGGGGAGCGAACAGGAUUAGAUACCCUGGUAGUCCAUGCCGUAAACGUUGGGCACUAGGUGUGGGGGACAUUCCACGUUUUCCGCGCCGUAGCUAACGCAUUAAGUGCCCCGCCUGGGGAGUACGGCCGCAAGGCUAAAACUCAAAGGAAUUGACGGGGGCCCGCACAAGCGGCGGAGCAUGCGGAUUAAUUCGAUGCAACGCGAAGAACCUUACCAAGGCUUGACAUGGACUAGUAACGCCUGGAGACAGGCGCCCCCCUUUGGGGCUGGUUCACAGGUGGUGCAUGGUUGUCGUCAGCUCGUGUCGUGAAGAUGUUGGGUUAGUCCCGCACGAGCGCAACCCUCGUUCUAUGUUGCAGCGCGUGAUGGCGGGGACUCAUAGGAGACUGCGGGGUCAACUCGGAGGAAGGGGGGGACGACGUCAAUCAUCAUGCCCCUNNGGUCUGGGCCUUCCACGCAUGGCUACA
This 1182-nucleotide ribosomal RNA is filed under the name Actinomycetota bacterium. RNAcentral's name for it is "bacterial SSU rRNA". It matches the Rfam family "Bacterial small subunit ribosomal RNA", at positions 33 to 1229 of the family's 1533-position model. Lineage: Bacteria; Bacillati; Actinomycetota. The record is from RNAcentral.